GGGGAUGUAGCUCAGUGGCACAGUACCUGCUUGGCAAGCACGAGCCUCUGAGUUUGAUUUCCAGUACCCCCG
RNAcentral lists this transfer RNA (72 nucleotides) under Cavia porcellus (domestic guinea pig). It matches the Rfam family "tRNA". Rfam says of the family: Transfer RNA (tRNA) molecules are approximately 80 nucleotides in length. Their secondary structure includes four short double-helical elements and three loops (D, anti-codon, and T loops). The record is from Rfam by way of RNAcentral. Lineage: Eukaryota; Metazoa; Chordata; Mammalia; Rodentia; Caviidae.